UACGGAGGAUGCAAGUGUUAUCCGGAAUCACUGGGCGUAAAGCGUCUGUAGGUGGUUUAAUAAGUCAACUGUUAAAUCUUGAGGCUCAACUUCAAAAUCGCAGUCGAAACUAUUAGACUAGAGUAUAGUAGGGGUAAAGGGAAUUUCCAGUGGAGCGGUGAAAUGCGUAGAUAUCUGGAGGAACACCAAUGGCGAAGGCAGCUUACUGGGCUAUUACUGACACUCAGAGACGAAAGCUAGGGUAGCAAAUGGG
This 253-nucleotide ribosomal RNA is filed under the name uncultured bacterium. RNAcentral's name for it is "partial 16S ribosomal RNA". It matches the Rfam family "Bacterial small subunit ribosomal RNA", at positions 524 to 776 of the family's 1533-position model. The record is from RNAcentral.